GCAGUCGAACGGUAGCACAGAGAGCUUGCUCUCGGGUGACGAGUGGCGGACGGGUGAGUAAUGUCUGGGAAACUGCCUGAUGGAGGGGGAUAACUACUGGAAACGGUAGCUAAUACCGCAUAACGUCGCAAGACCAAAGAGGGGGACCUUCGGGCCUCUUGCCAUCAGAUGUGCCCAGAUGGGAUUAGCUAGUAGGUGGGGUAACGGCUCACCUAGGCGACGAUCCCUAGCUGGUCUGAGAGGAUGACCAGCCACACUGGAACUGAGACACGGUCCAGACUCCUACGGGAGGCAGCAGUGGGGAAUAUUGCACAAUGGGCGCAAGCCUGAUGCAGCCAUGCCGCGUGUAUGAAGAAGGCCUUCGGGUUGUAAAGUACUUUCAGCGGGGAGGAAGGUGUUGUGGUUAAUAACCGCAGCAAUUGACGUUACCCGCAGAAGAAGCACCGGCUAACUCCGUGCCAGCAGCCGCGGUAAUACGGAGGGUGCAAGCGUUAAUCGGAAUUACUGGGCGUAAAGCGCACGCAGGCGGUCUGUCAAGUCGGAUGUGAAAUCCCCGGGCUCAACCUGGGAACUGCAUUCGAAACUGGCAGGCUGGAGUCUUGUAGAGGGGGGUAGAAUUCCAGGUGUAGCGGUGAAAUGCGUAGAGAUCUGGAGGAAUACCGGUGGCGAAGGCGGCCCCCUGGACAAAGACUGACGCUCAGG
RNAcentral lists this ribosomal RNA (702 nucleotides) under Enterobacter cloacae. Its description in RNAcentral is "bacterial SSU rRNA". It matches the Rfam family "Bacterial small subunit ribosomal RNA", at positions 57 to 751 of the family's 1533-position model. The record is from RNAcentral. Lineage: Bacteria; Pseudomonadati; Pseudomonadota; Gammaproteobacteria; Enterobacterales; Enterobacteriaceae.